UACGAAGGGUGCAAGCGUUACUCGGAAUUACUGGGCGUAAAGCGUGCGUAGGUGGUGAGUUAAGUCUGAUGUGAAAUCCCCGGGCUCAACCUGGGAAUGGCAUUGGAUACUGGCUCGCUAGAGUGCGGUAGAGGGUGGUGGAAUUCCCGGUGUAGCAGUGAAAUGCGUAGAGAUCGGGAGGAACAUCUGUGGCGAAGGCGGCCACCUGGACCAACACUGACACUCAACUACGAAAGCGUGGGGAGCAAACAGG
This 253-nucleotide ribosomal RNA is filed under the name uncultured bacterium. Its description in RNAcentral is "partial 16S ribosomal RNA". It matches the Rfam family "Bacterial small subunit ribosomal RNA", at positions 524 to 776 of the family's 1533-position model. The record is from RNAcentral.